This 639-nucleotide ribosomal RNA is filed under the name uncultured beta proteobacterium. RNAcentral's name for it is "bacterial SSU rRNA". It matches the Rfam family "Bacterial small subunit ribosomal RNA", at positions 87 to 722 of the family's 1533-position model. The record is from RNAcentral. Lineage: Bacteria; Pseudomonadati; Pseudomonadota; Betaproteobacteria.
GGCGGCGAGUGGCGAACGGGUGAGUAAUACAUCGGAACGUGCCCAAUCGUGGGGGAUAACGCAGCGAAAGCUGUGCUAAUACCGCAUACGAUCUACGGAUGAAAGCAGGGGAUCGCAAGACCUUGCGCGAAUGGAGCGGCCGAUGGCAGAUUAGGUAGUUGGUGAGGUAAAGGCUCACCAAGCCUUCGAUCUGUAGCUGGUCUGAGAGGACGACCAGCCACACUGGGACUGAGACACGGCCCAGACUCCUACGGGAGGCAGCAGUGGGGAAUUUUGGACAAUGGGCGAAAGCCUGAUCCAGCCAUGCCGCGUGCAGGAUGAAGGCCUUCGGGUUGUAAACUGCUUUUGUACGGAACGAAACGGCCUUUUCUAAUAAAGAGGGCUAAUGACGGUACCGUAGGAAUAAGCACCGGCUAACUACGUGCCAGCAGCCGCGGUAAUACGUAGGGUGCAAGCGUUAAUCGGAAUUACUGGGCGUAAAGCGUGCGCAGGCGGUUAUGUAAGACAGUUGUGAAAUCCCCGGGCUCAACCUGGGAACUGCAUCUGUGACUGCAUAGCUAGAGUACGGUAGAGGGGGAUGGAAUUCCGCGUGUAGCAGUGAAAUGCGUAGAUAUGCGGAGGAACACCGAUGGCGAAGGC